This 1431-nucleotide ribosomal RNA is filed under the name Triticum aestivum (bread wheat). RNAcentral's name for it is "partial small subunit ribosomal RNA". The record is from RNAcentral. Lineage: Eukaryota; Viridiplantae; Streptophyta; Magnoliopsida; Poales; Poaceae.
UACCACCAGUGGGUGGCUCCUUCCUCGGUAGGGGGCUGGAGCAAAAUGGAUAGUUUCCCCUACGCCCGCCCCCACGUACGAGUAUGGUUGGAGGGGGUAGAACAGAAGACCACAAUGCAGAAAUAGUACCACUCCCCUCCCCUUCCUCCCGCACAGGCGCAUCCCAGGGGAAGGACGGUAGCGCGCUUCGUAGACCGGACCUUACAGCCAGGCCACGAAUCGAGAGACUGGAGAAAUUCUUAGUUGGGCCUCAGGGGUUAUCGGGCUCGCGGAGAGGAAGAGUGCUCGCCUAGGCGGCGACGGGAGCGGGGGCAGCAGCGGGGUGGUGACGAGCGGCUAGGCGGCUGAGGUAGCGGCAAGGAGAGACCGGAGGCGGUGGCGGCCGAGAGAGGCGGGAGGCAGCGCGACAAGAAGAAGGAGAGGGGUAGGAGAGGAUUAGAAGAGGCCGCGCGCGUGAGCGCCUACGUCCGCUUACCGAGCCCGUCCUCUGCACCGAGUGUUGCCGCCGCAGAGAGGAGCCCUCCUCGAGCCCGUAACUCCAGCCCCACACGCGACGGGGAUCCUGCCUCAGGUGGAUGGGCACGACCAGUACCAGGUGGUGGUGGUACGGAAGUUAGGCUGGAGGUGGUGAGGUCGUUCGUGCUCGUAGCGUUACCGGUGCCAAACAUACGAUUCUACUUGAACUCACUGCUCCAACUAAACCUUCUAGUACAGAGGUCUGUCCUAUUUCAGUCACGACGAUACUUCGAUCGUACGGACAACAGACGUUUUUAGCCAUUACAAUAGGACGGGUUUCUGAAGCUCUUCCAUUAUAGGGACAUAGAACCACGAGGACAUCAAACGUGUAAGUUAGAGUGGUAACAACAAUUCGAUGAACGGAUGUGUUUCGCAGUACCCUCAACGAAGGGACACUCUCUCUUCUCAAGUUUUUCCCUCUCUCGUUUCUUCUUCCUUUUCCUCUCCCGUCACCCCAGUACGCCUCUGACACCGGCUAAAAAGUCUCUUCUUUCUUGAGAUCUCUCUACGUUUGAUGUCCAACGUCUUCCACUACAUGGUUAACGUAGUGUACCUCGACUUUAACUUUACAUGUUCCUCGAACUUGGUAGCUGAGCGAAUGACUAGAACUUUCGCUAUACGCUGUAUGCACAGCUCCGUAAGUCUGCGGACCGGUUUCUUUUAAGAAAUCGUGUAGGGUAACACCUAAAGUUGACGAUAAGGGGACCUAGGGUGAGGGGGAUGGUAAUAUAAGGAUAAAGCUCCCACGCUUGCCCCUGUUACUCAUCCACCGCUCAUUAUGAUACAGCUCUUAGCUAUGUCCCCGUACUUCGUUCGCUCGUCUUGUAUUGUCGACGGUGUCAAAUGGGUAACUAAAGGACCUCACUAAGUUUGGAUCCUUUCAGACGAUGAACACGUUCGUUGUCCAACACAAUU